GGCUACGACAGCAGCAACACCGGCGAAGACGAGGAGGACGAGGGCGCUGCUCGCACAGCUGGGGUGCAAUGGCGCCUUGGCGUCUGCGCGUUGGCUGCGUCCUCCUCGCGGCUUUCCUCGUCUUGACGCCCGUCGCUCGCGCCGAGGAGGCCCAGCGACAAACCCCGAAAGUUGGUCCGCCGGGAACAGGUGAUCAGCGGGCCGAGAAGCAAACAGAGCAGGUUAAAGAGGCCGCGACGAAGACUUCAGGCCAGCUCGAAGCUUCCCCGGUGCCACGGACAAAACAGGGCGAUAGUGUUCAGGCGUCCAAAACAACGUCUCCGGUGAAGUUCAAGGACUCCGCAGUGCAGGAUGCCGAGAAGAAGGCAGAACGCAUAGAGCCCUCCGAAGCUCCGAAAGAGGCAGAAGGGAGUCCACGAGAUACAAGCGCUAGCCACGACACAGACGGUGGUUUGGCGGGUGACCAGCGUCCCAGGCAGCAGCCGAUCGCGGCGUCGAUGGAAGACGACGCCAGAGAAGGGGGCGCCUCGGGCAGUGGAGUCGGAGAGGAAGAGCAGCAGCUGCUGGAGGACUCCGCGGACCCGUCCGCCUUGGAGGACCUCCAGCACCUCAGGGACGUUCUCGACGGCCGGGAUUCGAGACGAGAGGAAGGCGAAGGGAGCCUGUCGGCGUACGUGAAGAACGCCCUGAGCACCAUGUACUCCAUAAUCACCUACGACUUCUGCCAGGCGCCGGCGGCCAUCCCAGCGGAACCCGCGACUCCGCAACGAGCGGUCCACGCACAGACCUCACCCCCAGCACCGGGCAAAGCAGGAGAGGACAAAGGAGCCGGCGACACGAAGGCAUUGUCGUGCAGUCAGAAGGGCGGUCGCCUGGCCGACUGGCGCGCCUGGAGGGAGGCGGGACACAGGAAACCCAAGGCCGUACUCGCCAGACUCGCCUGUCUCCUGCGGUCGGCGGGCUACCGGCUCUACCCGGUGCGCCGCCCAGCGCAGUUCUGGCCGCAGGGCGACGUGUGCACGGCGCUAUGCCACUCGUGCGAGUGCGACUUCGACGCCAACUCGACCUGCUCCCUGGCUCGGGAGGCCUGGAAGGCGCGCACCCCCGCCGUGGUGUACGCUCUCUACGCGGCCCUGCACCACUCGCGCGCCCUGUGCGCCACGGCCCUGCUGCUGAGCGUGCUGCGCAAGCACUACGUGUACCGGGUCGUGCUCUGCACUCCGCUCAUCAUCCUCCUCGCCAUGGUGACGAGGUGUCUUUACGUUUUGAUGCAACUGAGACGCUACCUCGAGAACAGCGCCACACCGGCCAUAAACACGAGGGACUGUUCGAACCGGCAUAGUGAGGACGAGGACAUCGGCAUGUCACCCCUGGAGAGGCACCGCCGACGCGACCUUCCUCUCAACGAAGAGCAUCCUGACAAACACGCCGAGGCUCUCAUCAGCAAGCUAAACCACGCGAUGUCGUCGCUCCGGAGUUUCUGCACCUUCCUAGAAACAACUAGGGGAUACUACAAGACCAGGAUAGACUACGCCCUGCGUGAAAUGCUCGACGUCGUGUUUCGCCUGCAGGAGCCCAAAGCAUAGCCUGGUUCUUUUUCAGCCUCACCCGAACGGGAAGCUACGAGAUCUGGCACUGACACGACCCCCCCACGCAUCCAAGAUUGCAAAGAAGACGAAUCAGGAAGAGCGCUCCGUCGCACUCACGCUUCACGAUAAUAAAGAUUGGCAAAUUCUCAUUUCGUCUCUACACA
Dermacentor albipictus is the source of this 1753-nucleotide non-coding RNA. The record is from RefSeq and is a predicted model, not a curated record. NCBI's taxonomy places the organism in Eukaryota, Metazoa, Arthropoda, Arachnida, Ixodida, Ixodidae.